CUCGGGGCAUGUGCACACCUUUGCUCAUUAAUCCACACACACCUGUGAACUUAAUGUGGGGCGUCCCUCGGGGCGCAUCCAUGUCUUUACACCAACUCUUAUGUAUGUCUAUAGAAUGUCAAAUCAUUUGCCUUAAAAAGCAAUUAAAAUACAACUUUCAACAACGGAUCUCUUGGCUCUCGCAUCGAUGAAGAACGCAGCGAAAUGCGAUAAGUAAUGUGAAUUGCAGAUUUUCAGUGAAUCAUCGAAUCUUUGAACGCACCUUGCGCUCCUUGGUAUUCCGAGGAGCAUGCCUGUUUGAGUGUCAUUAAAUUCUCAACCCCACCGAUUUGUUUCGUGUGGAGGCUUGGACUUGGGAUGUGCUGGCGUAAUGGUCGGCUCUCCUUUAAAUGCAUCAGCGGAAUCUUCUUUGUUUUCCGACAUCAGUGUGAUAAUACGUUGCGCUGUCGUCAGACUCAAAGUCCGCYUUACAAUGGUCUUCGGACAACUUUUUAUCAAUUUUGACCUCAAAUCAGGUAGGACUACCCGCUGAACUUAAGCAUA
This 543-nucleotide ribosomal RNA is filed under the name Leptosporomyces aff. raunkiaeri UC2023053. RNAcentral's name for it is "eukaryotic LSU rRNA". The record is from RNAcentral. Lineage: Eukaryota; Fungi; Basidiomycota; Agaricomycetes; Atheliales; Atheliaceae.